GGAGAGAUGGCAGAGUGGCUUAAUGCGGCGGUCUUGAAAAUCGUUGAGUAUUAAUACUCCGAGGGUUCAAAUCCCUCUCUCUCCG
This 85-nucleotide transfer RNA is filed under the name Candidatus Karelsulcia muelleri. Its description in RNAcentral is "tRNA-Ser". It matches the Rfam family "tRNA". From Rfam's summary of the family: Transfer RNA (tRNA) molecules are approximately 80 nucleotides in length. Their secondary structure includes four short double-helical elements and three loops (D, anti-codon, and T loops). The record is from RNAcentral. Lineage: Bacteria; Pseudomonadati; Bacteroidota; Flavobacteriia; Flavobacteriales.